CCUGGCUCAGGAUGAACGCUAGCUACAGGCUUAACACAUGCAAGUCGAGGGGCAGCAUGGUCUUAGCUUGCUAAGGCCGAUGGCGACCGGCGCACGGGUGAGUAACACGUAUCCAACCUGCCGUCUACUCUUGGACAGCCUUCUGAAAGGAAGAUUAAUACAAGAUGGCAUCAUGAGUCCGCAUGUUCACAUGAUUAAAGGUAUUCCGGUAGACGAUGGGGAUGCGUUCCAUUAGAUAGUAGGCGGGGUAACGGCCCACCUAGUCUUCGAUGGAUAGGGGUUCUGAGAGGAAGGUCCCCCACAUUGGAACUGAGACACGGUCCAAACUCCUACGGGAGGCAGCAGUGAGGAAUAUUGGUCAAUGGGCGAGAGCCUGAACCAGCCAAGUAGCGUGAAGGAUGACUGCCCUAUGGGUUGUAAACUUCUUUUAUAAAGGAAUAAAGUCGGGUAUGGAUACCCGUUUGCAUGUACUUUAUGAAUAAGGAUCGGCUAACUCCGUGCCAGCAGCCGCGGUAAUACGGAGGAUCCGAGCGUUAUCCGGAUUUAUUGGGUUUAAAGGGAGCGUAGAUGGAUGUUUAAGUCAGUUGUGAAAGUUUGCGGCUCAACCGUAAAAUUGCAGUUGAUACUGGAUAUCUUGAGUGCAGUUGAGGCAGGCGGAAUUCGUGGUGUAGCGGUGAAAUGCUUAGAUAUCACGAAGAACUCCGAUUGCGAAGGCAGCCUGCUAAGCUGCAACUGACAUUGAGGCUCGAAAGUGUGGGUAUCAAACAGGAUUAGAUACCCUGGUAGUCCACACGGUAAACGAUGAAUACUCGCUGUUUGCGAUAUACGGCAAGCGGCCAAGCGAAAGCGUUAAGUAUUCCACCUGGGGAGUACGCCGGCAACGGUGAAACUCAAAGGAAUUGACGGGGGCCCGCACAAGCGGAGGAACAUGUGGUUUAAUUCGAUGAUACGCGAGGAACCUUACCCGGGCUUAAAUUGCAGAUGAAUUACGGUGAAAGCCGUAAGCCGCAAGGCAUCUGUGAAGGUGCUGCAUGGUUGUCGUCAGCUCGUGCCGUGAGGUGUCGGCUUAAGUGUCAUAACGAGCGCAACCCUUGUUGUCAGUUACUAACAGGUUCCGCUGAGGACUCUGACAAGACUGCCAUCGUAAGAUGUGAGGAAGGUGGGGAUGACGUCAAAUCAGCACGGCCCUUACGUCCGGGGCUACACACGUGUUACAAUGGGGGGUACAGAGGGCCGCUACCACGCGAGUGGAUGCCAAUCCCCAAAACCUCUCUCAGUUCGGACUGGAGUCUGCAACCCGACUCCACGAAGCUGGAUUCGCUAGUAAUCGCGCAUCAGCCACGGCGCGGUGAAUACGUUCCCGGGCCUUGCACACAC
RNAcentral lists this ribosomal RNA (1377 nucleotides) under uncultured bacterium. Its description in RNAcentral is "16S ribosomal RNA". It matches the Rfam family "Bacterial small subunit ribosomal RNA", at positions 18 to 1390 of the family's 1533-position model. The record is from RNAcentral.